GGAGCGGUAGAGCAGGCGGUGGGAAUAGCUGCCUGUCACACCGGGAUCGAGGGUUCGAGCCCUGUCCGCUCCGCCA
This 76-nucleotide transfer RNA is filed under the name Pseudomonas putida. Its description in RNAcentral is "tRNA_Pseudo_GTC". The record is from RNAcentral. RNAcentral also lists the same sequence under 2 other names. Lineage: Bacteria; Pseudomonadati; Pseudomonadota; Gammaproteobacteria; Pseudomonadales; Pseudomonadaceae.